CGAACGCUGGCGGCGUGCCUAAUACAUGCAAGUAGAACGCUGAAGAGAGGAGCUUGCUCUUCUUGGAUGAGUUGCGAACGGGUGAGUAACGCGUAGGUAACCUGCCUUGUAGCGGGGGAUAACUAUUGGAAACGAUGGCUAAUACCGCAUAACAAUGGGUGACACAUGUCAUUUAUUUGAAAGGGGCAAUUGCUCCACUACAAGAUGGACCUGCGUUGUAUUAGCUAGUAGGUGGGGUAACGGCUCACCUAGGCGACGAUACAUAGCCGACCUGAGAGGGUGAUCGGCCACACUGGGACUGAGACACGGCCCAGACUCCUACGGGAGGCAGCAGUAGGGAAUCUUCGGCAAUGGGGGCAACCCUGACCGAGCAACGCCGCGUGAGUGAAGAAGGUUUUCGGAUCGUAAAGCUCUGUUGUAAGUCAAGAACGAGUGUGAGAGUGGAAAGUUCACACUGUGACGGUAGCUUACCAGAAAGGGACGGCUAACUACGUGCCAGCAGCCGCGGUAAUACGUAGGUCCCGAGCGUUGUCCGGAUUUAUUGGGCGUAAAGCGAGCGCAGGCGGUUUGAUAAGUCUGAAGUUAAAGGCUGUGGCUCAACCAUAGUUCGCUUUGGAAACUGUCAAACUUGAGUGCAGAAGGGGAGAGCGGAAUUCCAUGUGUAGCGGUGAAAUGCGUAGAUAUAUGGAGGAACACCGGUGGCGAAAGCGGCUCUCUGGUCUGUAACUGACGCUGAGGCUCGAAAGCGUGGGGAGCGAACAGGAUUAGAUACCCUGGUAGUCCACGCCGUAAACGAUGAGUGCUAGGUGUUGGAUCCUUUCCGGGAUUCAGUGCCGCAGCUAACGCAUUAAGCAC
Molecule: ribosomal RNA, 855 nt
Filed under: uncultured Streptococcus sp.
Lineage: Bacteria; Bacillati; Bacillota; Bacilli; Lactobacillales; Streptococcaceae
Description: bacterial SSU rRNA
Rfam family: Bacterial small subunit ribosomal RNA
Source: RNAcentral